Molecule: ribosomal RNA, 796 nt
Filed under: Citrobacter freundii
Lineage: Bacteria; Pseudomonadati; Pseudomonadota; Gammaproteobacteria; Enterobacterales; Enterobacteriaceae
Description: bacterial SSU rRNA
Rfam family: Bacterial small subunit ribosomal RNA
Source: RNAcentral
UCUGGGCGCAAAGCGCACGCAGGCGGUCUGUCAAGUCGGAUGUGAAAUCCCCCGGGCUCAACCUGGGAACUGCAUCCGAAACUGGCAGGCUAGAGUCUUGUAGAGGGGGGUAGAAUUCCAGGUGUAGCGGUGAAAUGCGUAGAGAUCUGGAGGAAUCCCGGUGGCGAAAGGCGGCCCCCUGGACAAAGACUGACGCUCAGGUGCGAAAGCGUGGGGAGCAAACAGGAUUAGAUACCCUGGUAGUCCACGCCGUAAACGAUGUCGACUUGGAGGUUGUGCCCUUGAGGCGUGGCUUCCGGAGCUAACGCGUUAAGUCGACCGCCUGGGGAGUACGGCCGCAAGGUUAAAACUCAAAUGAAUUGACGGGGGCCCGCACAAGCGGUGGAGCAUGUGGUUUAAUUCGAUGCAACGCGAAGAACCUUACCUACUCUUGACAUCCAGAGAACUUAGCAGAGAUGCUUUGGUGCCUUCGGGAACUCUGAGACAGGUGCUGCAUGGCUGUCGUCAGCUCGUGUUGUGAAAUGUUGGGUUAAGUCCCGCAACGAGCGCAACCCUUAUCCUUUGUUGCCAGCGGUUCGGCCGGGAACUCAAAGGAGACUGCCAGUGAUAAACUGGAGGAAGGUGGGGAUGACGUCAAGUCAUCACGGCCCUUACGAGUAGGGCUACACACGUGCUACAAUGGCAUAUACAAAGAGAAGCGACCUCGCGAGAGCAAGCGGACCUCAUAAAGUAUGUCGUAGUCCGGAUUGGAGUCUGCAACUCGACUCCAUGAAGUCGGAAUCGCUAGUAAUCGUGA